This 468-nucleotide ribosomal RNA is filed under the name uncultured bacterium. Its description in RNAcentral is "partial 16S ribosomal RNA". It matches the Rfam family "Bacterial small subunit ribosomal RNA", at positions 28 to 507 of the family's 1533-position model. The record is from RNAcentral.
GACGAACGCUGGCGGCGUGCUUAACACAUGCAAGUCGAACGGAAAGGCCCUGCUUUUGUGGGGUGCUCGAGUGGCGAACGGGUGAGUAACACGUGAGUAACCUGCCCUUGACUUUGGGACAACUUCAGGAAACUGGGGCUAAUACCGGAUAGGAGCUCCUGCUGCAUGGUGGGGGUUGGAAAGUUUCGGCGGUUGGGGAUGGACUCGCGGCUUAUCAGCUUGUUGGUGGGGUAGUGGCUUACCAAGGCUUUGACGGGUAGCCGGCCUGAGAGGGUGACCGGCCACAUUGGAACUGAGAUACGGCCCAGACUCCUACGGGAGGCAGCAGUGGGGAAUAUUGCACAAUGGGCGGAAGCCUGAUGCAGCAACGCCGCGUGCGGGAUGACGGCCUUCGGGUUGUAAACUGCUUUCGCCUGUGACGAAGCGUGAGUGACGGUAAUGGGUAAAGAAGCACCGGCUAACUACGUG